Long non-coding RNA from Triticum dicoccoides, 944 nucleotides. RefSeq lists it as uncharacterized. The record is from RefSeq and is a predicted model, not a curated record. The transcript has 6 exons. Lineage: Eukaryota; Viridiplantae; Streptophyta; Magnoliopsida; Poales; Poaceae.
CAUCCAAAAUUACUCUUCUAUUUCGCCCGCAAAGGGGCACCACUAAAAGCCACCGCCCACCCUGACAUUUUUUCGCCAGAUUCAAUCUGUUCUCCUAUCCCACGAUUGCAGUGAUCAGGGCCGGGAGAUUGGGGAUCGCCGGCUGGGUGUCCCGCCGGUUCGAGCUCGGAUCCACAGCAUCAACCAUCCCCGCGAGCACUCCUCUCUAUUCUCCCCCUGAUUUGCAGCGACGGGCGACGGCGGAUUGAAGGAGGCCGCCCCACCAGCGGAGCUCGGAUCCACCGCAUCAACCCGCGCGCGAGCCUUUCCCACCGAUUACAGCGACCGACGAUGGCUCUUAGAUCACCAGGAUACAACGAAGGGAUUUGCGGGAGAAAAGCACCGAGGCGAGGUUGACGAAAGAGAGAAGUUGCUAAAAUAAUGCCAACACUUCCGGAGAGUGAGAGGGAAACAAGGGCAUAUCUUACGGAAAGGAAAAGCAAGAGUGAGGCAUAUUUGAAGGAGGUGUCGGUGAUCGCAGUGUCUCAGAGUAUGAACCAAAUGUUGAAGAGGAGGCCCAUUUUGCAGAAGAAGCUUUGAGAGAUGAAGACAAAGCCGCUCUUGCCAUGUCCAAAGAAAUGCAUGGGUUAUGCAUCAAGAUCCGGGUGAUCUGGGACCUCUACUUCAUCAACAUAGAUCUGAGAAGAAAGAAUUGAAUAGAAGGAUAGAGAUGCGAGAGAUGCAAGUGACAGGCAUUGAGAGGAGUUAGCCGCGAGGCUUGAAGCACAAGUGACAACAUUUCAAGAGAUGUAGAGGAAGCAACAUACGAUGAUAUCUCACUAAGUUUCAAGGUACAAGUGUUCUCCCUGAGUAUGUAUCGUUGCUACGGUUCGUUAUGCCAAGACACCACGUGAUGAUUGGGUAUGAUAAGCUCUACGUUCACAUACAACGGAUGCAAGCCAGUU